Non-coding RNA from Chiloscyllium plagiosum (whitespotted bambooshark), 1451 nucleotides. The record is from RefSeq and is a predicted model, not a curated record. Lineage: Eukaryota; Metazoa; Chordata; Chondrichthyes; Orectolobiformes; Hemiscylliidae.
GAGCCGCCUCCGGCACCCACGGCAUCACGGGAUAGUGGAGGAUGUCCUUCUGGCGUUAUGGAGGGCGUUGUCUGCAGUCGUAGGGACUGUAAUACUCAUUGAUUCUCUCACAUAAUGUCUUUGUCGCCAUCAGGUGUCAAGACUAGAAAUUCCCAACCGGACUCCGCGGAAGUUCAUAAACUCCCCACCCUCCAAAAAAAAUAGAAGGACUUGCACUCCCCAAGAUCCGUUUCCGAGCUUCUGCGUAUUCAGCUUCUCGCUGGGCCAGCGAUUUGACUUGUGGAGGUGGUCUUGUGGUGGAGUUGGGUGUGCUGACUACCCCAUUACUCGUCGGCCUCUUCAAAAUGCGGAUUUGUGGAGCACAGGGCGUUGGAUGGAGGUCAUCCUGUAUGACGAUGGGAACCUUAGGCGUCAGCUUCGAUUUUCUGUUUGAAAAUUUAAAAAACUUUGAUGUUCCAGAAUAGCAUUACACUCCCUCAAGAAAAAGAAACUUGUCAAACAUAAGAAGGAGACAGUGUAAAACUGGGAGACAAGAACAGAAAUGGAAGUCUUGCAGGAAUGCUGUGCUGAGGAAUAAUGGCAGCAUUCAUGCAAAAUGGAGUUGUGACAUAGUGCAUUGGCAAUUACCCACAAAUGGUGUGCUCUCACCCUUCAUGUUUUCCUCUAAACACAAAAGUAAUUUUUGUUAUAAACAGCUAAUUCAGAAAAGCAAGGCCUAUUCAAUGGCUCAGAUUCAGAAGGUUCCUGUUUUGUACUGAAUUUGCCAUUGUAAUUUCUCUGUUCAGACACCCCAAAAUCUAAGCAGUUUUGAUGCCAUAUUUACUAUACCUCUAACCUCAGAUUAUUAGCAUUUCUUAAUCUUCAUAAUUACAAAGAAAUGACAUACAGAAAAAGAUACUUUGCUCCUCCCACCCUAUCCCACAUAAGCUGCAGUAGCUUGUGCUUAGUAAAUAUACUCCCCACCCAAAACCAUAUGAUCUGAAGUGAUUCUUAAUUAUUGGUAGCAGUCAUUAACGGUCAGGCAGGAAGAUAGGGGAAGUGAAUCACAAGCAAUCAAACCACUUGUUACAACCGAUUAGACUUCAUAGUUUAUUACUGGGAAAGAAAUAGGUUUUAAUUUUGCAAUGUAGGAGCUCCCACAGCUAUGUUCCUGGUAAGUUGGAUUGUACACUUAUAUAGAGGACAGGAGUGUCAGAUUCCAAAGUAGAGAUUUACAUGUUGCUGAAGGAAAACAAUGCUUUUGAUUAAAUGCACAAACACCAUUCUAUAGUCAAGGGUUGAAAUCAAAAUUUAAUUGCUCUUCAGUUCACAGAAUCCCAACAGCCUUUUAAUUUUUUUGUUGUAUUACUUGGUACACUCAAAAGGGAAAAAGACAAUCUGAUUAAUCUAUUUUGAAUUGAUGCACAAAUAUAAAUGGAAAAUAAACUGCCUCCAUCAAGAAUAUCAUAUGA